RNAcentral lists this long non-coding RNA (238 nucleotides) under Mytilus galloprovincialis (Mediterranean mussel). Lineage: Eukaryota; Metazoa; Mollusca; Bivalvia; Mytilida; Mytilidae. The record is from RNAcentral.
AAUUAACCUUACAUGCUUAUGCUUUAUAUUGUGACAAAUGAGCACUAUCUAACAACUAAUGUUUGUUAUACAUGUAUAUAUAUAUAUAACAUUGUAAAAUGGUAAAUAAGAAAAUGAGGGAAAAAAAAAAACAGUUACAUCAGACAUUUGAAAAGCUAUGAUUGAGGUUUAUUAAAGCACAAGUUAUGUUACAACUACAUGUACAUGUAUUACUUUCUGUGAUAAAUUUUGGUGAGAG